GACGAACGCUGGCGGCGUGCUUAACACAUGCAAGUCGAACGGAAAGGCCCCGCUUUUGUGGGGUGCUCGAGUGGCGAACGGGUGAGUAACACGUGAGUAACCUGCCCUUGACUUUGGGAUAACUUCAGGAAACUGGGGCUAAUACCGGAUAGGAGCUCCUGCUGCAUGGUGGGGGUUGGAAAGUUUCGGCGGUUGGGGAUGGACUCGCGGCUUAUCAGCUUGUUGGUGGGGUAGUGGCUUACCAAGGCUUUGACGGGUAGCCGGCCUGAGAGGGUGACCGGCCACAUUGGGACUGAGAUACGGCCCAGACUCCUACGGGAGGCAGCAGUGGGGAAUAUUGCACAAUGGGCGGAAGCCUGAUGCAGCAACGCCGCGUGCGGGAUGACGGCCUUCGGGUUGUAAACCGCUUUCGCCUGUGACGAAGCGUGAGUGACGGUAAUGGGUAAAGAAGCACCGGCUAGCUACGUG
RNAcentral lists this ribosomal RNA (468 nucleotides) under uncultured bacterium. Its description in RNAcentral is "partial 16S ribosomal RNA". It matches the Rfam family "Bacterial small subunit ribosomal RNA", at positions 28 to 507 of the family's 1533-position model. The record is from RNAcentral.